This is a long non-coding RNA of Saccostrea echinata, 408 nucleotides long. RefSeq lists it as uncharacterized. NCBI's taxonomy places the organism in Eukaryota, Metazoa, Mollusca, Bivalvia, Ostreida, Ostreidae. The transcript is spliced from 3 exons. The record is from RefSeq and is a predicted model, not a curated record.
GUAUUGUAAACGCUCUUUACAACUAAUAAGUCAUAGAUAAGAGGGAAAACAUUUUCACUCUUGAGCAUCCUCGGAAGACGGUUAGAUUUUGGAGUUUUCACAACAAGAGCAAACUUAAGGCAACUUUCUUCUUGAAAAUGUUGGAGACUGAGACGCAGAUGUUAACAGACAACUCUGCAUGGAAUUGGAGGAUAAGAGUAUAUAACUGAAUGCAUUCUGUCUGGAUUUCUGUAUUGUAACAGAAGGCUUUGAUAAUCAAGACAAUCAAGAAUUGGAGUGGCUAAGAAUCAGAUGGAGACCAAAUGUCAGUUCACAUGGAAUACCAGGGUUUGCAAAGGAGGACAUUGGAACUGGCUUAAGUAUUCAAAUUUCUGAUGGCAGUUGAUGACAGAAGAUGUCAUACUUAGG